AAGCUGGGGGUGCUACACAUGCAAGUUGUGCGCGAAAGGGUAGCAAUAUCCAAGUAAAGCGGCGAACGGGUGAGUAACACGUGGUUAACCUGCCGGGAUGUGGGGGAUACCCCGGGGAAACUCGGGACAAUACCGCAUGAUGUCUCCUGGGCGAUGGCUCGGGAGAGCAAAGCUGGGGACCGUAAGGCCUAGCGCAUUCCGAUGGGACCGGGCGAUUAGCUAGUUGGCGGGGUAACGGCCCACCAAGGCGACGAUCGGUAGCCGGCCUGAGAGGGUGAUCGGCCACACCGGAACUGAGACACGGUCCGGACUCCUACGGGAGGCAGCAGUGGGGAGUUUUGCGCAAUGGGCGAAAGCCUGACGCAGCAACGCCGCGUGGAGGAUGAAGGUCUUCGGAUCGUAAACUCCUGUUGCCCGGGACGAAUGGCUCCGACCUAACACGUCGGAGUGUGACGGUACCGGGUGAGGAAGCCCCGGCUAACUCUGUGCCAGCAGCCGCGGUAAUACAGAGGGGGCAAGCGUUGUUCGGAAUUACUGGGCGUAAAGGGCGCGUAGGCGGCCCUCUAAGUCGGACGUGAAAUCCCCGGGCUCGACCCGGGAACUGCGUCCGAUACUGGGGGGCUCGAAUCCGGGCAGAGGGAUGCGGAAUUCCAGGUGUAGCGGUUGAAAUGCGUAGAUAUCUUGGGAGGAACACCGGUGGCGAAGGCGGCAUCCUGGACCGGCAUUGACGCUGAGGCGCGAAGCCAGGGGAGCAACGGGGAUUAAGAUACCCCGGUAGUCCUGGCCCUAACGAUGAAUGCUUGGUGUGGGGGUAUCGGAUCCCUGGCCGUGCGAAGUAACGCAUAGCAUUCGCUGGGA
RNAcentral lists this ribosomal RNA (858 nucleotides) under uncultured bacterium. Its description in RNAcentral is "bacterial SSU rRNA". It matches the Rfam family "Bacterial small subunit ribosomal RNA", at positions 33 to 873 of the family's 1533-position model. The record is from RNAcentral.